RNAcentral lists this ribosomal RNA (253 nucleotides) under uncultured bacterium. RNAcentral describes it as "partial 16S ribosomal RNA". It matches the Rfam family "Bacterial small subunit ribosomal RNA", at positions 524 to 776 of the family's 1533-position model. The record is from RNAcentral.
UACGGGGGGGGCAAGCGUUGUCCGGAUUUAUUGGGUUUAAAGGGUGCGUAGGCGGCCCGGUAAGUCAGUGGUGAAAGCCUCCAGCUCAACUGGAGAACUGCCAUUGAUACUGCCGGGCUUGAGUACAGACGAGGUUGGCGGAAUUGAUUGUGUAGCGGUGAAAUGCAUAGAUACAAUCAAGAACUCCGAUUGCGUAGGCAGCUAACUAGGCUGUAACUGACGCUGAGGCACGAAAGCGUGGGGAGCGAACAGG